RNAcentral lists this ribosomal RNA (397 nucleotides) under uncultured bacterium. Its description in RNAcentral is "partial 16S ribosomal RNA". It matches the Rfam family "Bacterial small subunit ribosomal RNA", at positions 523 to 918 of the family's 1533-position model. The record is from RNAcentral.
AUACGUAGGUGGCAAGCGUUGUCCGGAAUUAUUGGGCGUAAAGCGCGCGCAGGUGGUCCUUUAAGUCUGAUGUGAAAGCCCCCGGCUCAACCGGGGAGGGUCAUUGGAAACUGGGGAACUUGAGUGCAGAAGAGGAUAGUGGAAUUCCAAGUGUAGCGGUGAAAUGCGUAGAGAUUUGGAGGAACACCAGUGGCGAAGGCGACUGUCUGGUCUGUAACGGACACUGAGGCGCGAAAGCGUGGGGAGCAAACAGGAUUAGAUACCCUGGUAGUCCACGCCGUAAACGAUGAGUGCUAAGUGUUGGGGGGUUUCCGCCCCUCAGUGCUGCAGCUAACGCAUUAAGCACUCCGCCUGGGGAGUACGGUCGCAAGACUGAAACUCAAAUGAAUUGACGGGG